GAUGAACGCUGGCGGCGUGCUUAACACAUGCAAGUCGAACGGAGUUAUGAUGUGCGAGGGAAACAGCUUGCUGGGAACUGAACUUUUCAUAACUUAGUGGCGGACGGGUGAGUAACGCGUGGGUAACCUGCCGUAUACAGGGGGAUAACACCUGGAAACAGGUGCUAAAACCGCAUUAGCGCACGAAAGCGCAUGCCUUUGUGUGAAAAACUAUAGUGGUAUACGAUGGACCCGCGUCUGAUUAGCCAGUUGGCAGGGUAACGGCCUACCAAAGCGACGAUAGGUAGCCGGCCUGAGCGGGCGGACGGCCACAUUGGGACUGAGACACGGCCCAAACUCCUACGGGAGGCAGCAGUGGGGGAUAUUGCACAAUGGGGGAAACCCUGAUGCAGCGACGCCGCGUGAGUGAAGAAGUAUUUCGGUAUGUAAAGCUCUGUCAGCAGGGAAGAAGAUGACAGUACCUGACCAAGAAGCCCCGGCUAACUACGUGCCAGCAGCCGCCGCCG
This 506-nucleotide ribosomal RNA is filed under the name uncultured bacterium. RNAcentral describes it as "partial 16S ribosomal RNA". It matches the Rfam family "Bacterial small subunit ribosomal RNA", at positions 28 to 523 of the family's 1533-position model. The record is from RNAcentral.